UAUAUCCUAGUAUAAGGUGUACAAAAGUUUUUGAAACUUUAAGAAAUAAUCAAAUUUUAUUGGAUAUAA
This 69-nucleotide transfer RNA is filed under the name Afissula kambaitana. Its description in RNAcentral is "tRNA-Gln". Lineage: Eukaryota; Metazoa; Arthropoda; Insecta; Coleoptera; Coccinellidae. The record is from RNAcentral.